UUGAACUGAAGAGUUUGAUCCUGGCUCAGAUUGAACGCUGGCGGCAUGCCUUACACAUGCAAGUCGAACGGCAGCACGGGCUUCGGCCUGGUGGCGAGUGGCGAACGGGUGAGUAAUACAUCGGAACAUGUCCUGUAGUGGGGGAUAGCCCGGCGAAAGCCGGAUUAAUACCGCAUACGAUCCACGGAUGAAAGCGGGGGACCUUCGGGCCUCGCGCUAUAGGGUUG
Molecule: ribosomal RNA, 227 nt
Filed under: Burkholderia ubonensis
Lineage: Bacteria; Pseudomonadati; Pseudomonadota; Betaproteobacteria; Burkholderiales; Burkholderiaceae
Description: partial 16S ribosomal RNA
Rfam family: Bacterial small subunit ribosomal RNA
Source: RNAcentral